Molecule: ribosomal RNA, 253 nt
Filed under: uncultured bacterium
Lineage: Bacteria
Description: partial 16S ribosomal RNA
Rfam family: Bacterial small subunit ribosomal RNA
Source: RNAcentral
UACGAAGGUCCCAAGCGUUAUCCGGAUUUAUUGGGUUUAAAGGGUGCGUAGGCGGGUUAUUAAGUCAGUGGUGAAAGCUCCAUGCCUAACAUGGAAAUUGCCAUUGAUACUGAUGAUCUUGAGUACAUUUGAAGUGGGCGGAAUGUGUCAUGUAGCGGUGAAAUGCUUAGAUAUGACACAGAACACCGAUUGCGUAGGCAGCUCGCUAAACUGUAACUGACGCUGAGGCACGAAAGCGUGGGGAGCAAACAGG